UGGCGAACGGGUGAGUAAUACAUCGGAACGUGUCCGCUCGUGGGGGACAACCAGCCGAAAGGUUGGCUAAUACCGCAUGAGUUCUACGGAAGAAAGGGGGGACCCGCAAGGGCCUCUCGCGAGCGGAGCGGCCGAUGACUGAUUAGCCGGUUGGUGAGGUAACGGCUCACCAAAGCAACGAUCAGUAGCUGGUCUGAGAGGACGACCAGCCACACUGGGACUGAGACACGGCCCAGACUCCUACGGAAGGCAGCAG
RNAcentral lists this ribosomal RNA (256 nucleotides) under uncultured bacterium. RNAcentral describes it as "partial 16S ribosomal RNA". It matches the Rfam family "Bacterial small subunit ribosomal RNA", at positions 96 to 354 of the family's 1533-position model. The record is from RNAcentral.